GUGGAUUAGAUACCCGGGUAGUCCAUGCCGUAAACGUUGGGCACUAGGUGUGGGGCUCAUUCCACGAGCUCUGUGCCGCAGCAAACGCAUUAAGUGCCCCGCCUGGGGAGUACGGCCGCAAGGCUAAAACUCAAAGAAAUUGACGGGGGCCCGCACAAGCGGCGGAGCAUGCGGAUUAAUUCGAUGCAACGCGAAGAACCUUACCAAGGCUUGACAUACACCGGAAAAGUGCAGAGAUGUGCUCCCCGUAAGGUCGGUGUACAGGUGGUGCACGGUCGUCGACAACU
This 287-nucleotide ribosomal RNA is filed under the name uncultured bacterium. Its description in RNAcentral is "partial 16S ribosomal RNA". It matches the Rfam family "Bacterial small subunit ribosomal RNA", at positions 773 to 1060 of the family's 1533-position model. The record is from RNAcentral.